CGCGCAGGCGGAUCUGCCAGUCUGUCUUAAAAGUUCGGGGCUUAACCCCGUGAUGGGAUGGAAACUACAGAUCUAGAGUAUCGGAGAGGAAAGUGGAAUUCCUAGUGUAGCGGUGAAAUGCGUAGAUAUUAGGAAGAACACCAGUGGCGAAGGCGACUUUCCGGACGAAACUGACGCUGAGGCGCGAAAGCCAGGGAGCGAAG
RNAcentral lists this ribosomal RNA (203 nucleotides) under uncultured bacterium. RNAcentral describes it as "partial 16S ribosomal RNA". It matches the Rfam family "Bacterial small subunit ribosomal RNA", at positions 568 to 773 of the family's 1533-position model. The record is from RNAcentral.